UUUUAUGUGAUAUUGUUGAUCUCAAAAUCCAAUCACAACCUAAAGGUUUGUAAUCAACUCAAUAACACCAAUUUCAAAACGUAAUAAAAAAGUAUUAUCCAAAAAUUUGAUCAAACGAUCUAUGAAAUUAACAAUUUUCAAACCAAAAAUAAAAGAGAGAUGGAGAGAGAGAGAGAGAGAGAGAGAGAGUACACAAGAAUUGGUUUAGGAAGUUCCUUAAUCGACCUCUCUAUGAGUAUGUUUGCCCUCAAUUCGAAUGCGAAUUGAGAUAGUG
RNAcentral lists this long non-coding RNA (274 nucleotides) under Lathyrus oleraceus (garden pea). RNAcentral describes it as "Pisum sativum (pea) long non-coding RNA (PSAT_LNC023659)". The record is from RNAcentral. Lineage: Eukaryota; Viridiplantae; Streptophyta; Magnoliopsida; Fabales; Fabaceae.